Long non-coding RNA from Xyrauchen texanus (razorback sucker), 3690 nucleotides. RefSeq lists it as uncharacterized. The transcript is spliced from 3 exons. NCBI's taxonomy places the organism in Eukaryota, Metazoa, Chordata, Actinopteri, Cypriniformes, Catostomidae. The record is from RefSeq and is a predicted model, not a curated record.
CUGCUGCUAUCGGCUGUGUUUGUGUGAUAUCUGAGCUGGUAUCUGAAAAGAUGUUUAUUCCUGUUUGUUCGUGAUGAUUGAUGCAGAUGUAACAUCCAGAUGUUAGUAAUUGACCUCAAAUCUCAGAAUUCAGUCAGACUCAGCCCAGCGAUGAUGCUGAUGAUCAGACAAUGCUAGGAGAAGUCACGACUACAAGAAAAGGUGUGCACACAUUGCACAAUGUUAUAGGUACAACAGAGGAUAGAAUGCAGUGUAAAGACUAAACAAAAUGUUCAUUAGUGAAAUAUUAUAGGGAAAUGUAAUGAUUGCAACAUAUGGAGAAUGAGACAUUAAAUUGGAAAGACAUGCUGUCUUAGUGUAACAUAAGUGUGGAUUAUUCAUAUGCAACUCAUUGGUAACACUUUACUUGAAGGGGUGUGCAUAAGACUGACAUGACACCUUCAUAAUCAUGACAUGAAACAUGUCAUGCAUAUGAAGGAGGUUUUAUGCAUGUUUAUGACAUCUGUCAUUAAGGACACUUCCUCUGUGCCCCUGAGGUAAAUACACUAUUCUCUGUGCCCCUGAGGUAAAGACACUAUUCUCUGUGCCUCUGAGGUAAAGACACUACUCUCUGUGCCCCUGAGGUAAAGACACUACUCUCUGUGCCCUAAGAGAAGGACACUUCCUCUGUGCCCCUGAGGUAAAGACACUAUUCUCUGUGCCCCUGAGAGAAGGACACUAUUCUCUGUGCCUCUGAGGUAAAGACACUACUCUCUGUGCCCCUGAGGUAAAGACACUAUUCUCUGUGCCUCUGAGGUAAAGACACUACUCUCUGUGCCCCUGAGGUAAAGACACUACUCUCUGUGCCCUAAGAGAAGGACACUUCCUCUGUGCCCCUGAGGUAAAGACACUACUCUCUGUGCCCCUGAGGUAAAGACACUACUCUCUGUGCCCCUGAGGUAAAGACACUACUCUCUGUGCCCCUGAGGUAAAGACACUACUCUCUGUGCCCCUGAGGUAAAGACACUACUCUCUGUGCCCCUGAGGUAAAGACACUACUCUCUGUGCCCCUGAGGUAAAGACACUACUCUCUGUGCCCCUGAGGUAAAGACACUACUCUCUGAGCCCCUGAGGUAAAGACACUACUCUCUGUGCCCCUGAGGUAAAGACACUACUCUCUGUGCCCCUGAGGAAAAGACACUACUCUCUGUGCCCCUAAGAGAAGGACACUUCCUCUGUGCCCCUGAGGUAAAGACACUACUCUCUGUGCCCCUAAGAGAAGGACACUUCCUCUGUGCCCCUGAGGUAAAGACACUACUCUCUGUGCCUCUGAGGUAAAGACACUAUUCUCUGUGCCCCUAAGAGAAGGACACUUCCUCUGUGCCCCUGAGGUAAAGACACUAUUCUCUGUGCCCCUGAGAGAAGGACACUAUUCUCUGUGCCUCUGAGGUAAAGACACUACUCUCUGUGCCCCUGAUGUAAAGACACUACUCUCUGUGCCCCUGAGGUAAAGACACUAUUCUCUGUGCCCCUAAGAGAAGGACACUUCCUCUGUGCCCCUGAGGUAAAGACACUAUUCUCUGUGCCCCUGAGAGAAGGACACUACUCUCUGUGCCUCUGAGGUAAAGACACUACUCUCUGUGCCCCUGAGGUAAAGACACUAUUCUCUGUGCCCCUAAGAGAAGGACACUUCCUCUGUGCCCCUGAGGUAAAGACACUACUCUCUGUGCCCCUGAGGUAAAGACACUACUCUCUGUGCCCCUGAGGUAAAGACACUACUCUCUGUGCCCCUGAGAGAAGGACACUACUCUCUGUGCCUCUGAGGUAAAGACACUACUCUCUGUGCCCCUGAGGUAAAGACACUAUUCUCUGUGCCCCUGAGAGAAGGACACUUCCUCUGUGCCCCUGAGGUAAAGACACUACUCUCUGUGCCCCUGAGGUAAAGACACUAUUCUCUGUGCCCCUAAGAGAAGGACACUUCCUCUGUGCCCCUGAGGUAAAGACACUACUCUCUGUGCCCCUGAGGUAAAGACACUACUCUCUGUGCCUCUGAGGUAAAGACACUACUCUCUGUGCCCCUGAGGUAAAGACACUACUCUCUGUGCCCCUGAGGUAAAGACACUAUUCUCUGUGCCCCUAAGAGAAGGACACUUCCUCUGUGCCUCUGAGGUAAAGACACUACUCUCUGUGCCCCUGAGGUAAAGACAAUACUCUCUGUGCCCCUGAGGUAAAGACACAACUCUCUGUGCCCCUGAGGUAAAGACACUACUCUCUGUGCCUCUGAGGUAAAGACACUACUCUCUGUGCCUCUGAGGUAAAGACACUACUCUCUGUGCCCCUGAGGUAAAGACACUACUCUCUGUGCCCCUGAGGUAAAGACACUACUCUCUGUGCCUCUGAGGUAAAGACACUAUUCUCUGUGCCCCUAAGAGAAGGACACUACUCUCUGUGCCCCUGAGGUAAAGACACUAUUCUCUGUGCCCCUGAGGUAAAGACACUACUCUCUGUGCCCCUGAGGUAAAGACACUACUCUCUGUGCCUCUGAGGUAAAGACACUAUUCUCUGUGCCCCUAAGAGAAGGACACUACUCUCUGUGCCUCUGAGGUAAAGACACUAUUCUCUGUGCCCCUAAGAGAAGGACACUUCCUCUGUGCCUCUGAGGUAAAGACACUACUCUCUGUGCCCCUGAGGUAAAGACACUACUCUCUGUGCCCCUGAGGUAAAGACACUACUCUCUGUGCCUCUGAGGUAAAGACACUACUCUCUGUGCCCCUGAGGUAAAGACACUAUUCUCUGUGCCCCUAAGAGAAGGACACUACUCUCUGUGCCCCUGAGGUAAAGACACUACUCUCUGUGCCCCUAAGAGAAGGACACUACUCUCUGUGCCUCUGAGGUAAAGACACUACUCUCUGUGCCCCUAAGAGAAGGACAAUUAUCUCUGUAUAUAAUCAGAGGUCUAUAGUUCACUAUAAACCCAGGCUACUCAAAAUCCCUGAUAAAUGGUUUGUGGAACUCUUUGGAACUAUGUAUAUACUGUAAUAGUUCUCUACAAACCUUAUUCAAAGUGCCUGAUUUUCCAUUUAUUUAAUUACCUGUGUUAUUAGGUUGGUAUUGUCUACACUUCCAUUUCUAUAUACUGCACUUAAAUAUCUAUAGUUCCUUACAAAUGUAUUGAAAGUGCCUGGUUUUCCAGUGGUUGAUUGGCUUGUUGUAUUGCAUUAGCACUAUCCUUAGUUCCUUUCGAUGUGUAUACAAUGCUAUUACUUUGAUUUAUACAAAAAAUAUGUUCAUAUUUAAGGCUGGAAAUUAUGAAUGUAUAGAUUGAUAUGUAUAGCAGUUGAAUGGCCUGUUUAGGCCUGUAUUGACAAUGUCUAUAUGAUGUUACAUUGCAGCAUCUGUUUAUUAAUAGAAAACCCAUAAAAGCUUUAAACCUACACUUUUGUCAAUAAUGUGCAUUUUUCUAGUGCCGUCUAGUGAUCAGGUUUCAUAUUUCCGUUAAAUCCUUCCCAAAUGCUUAGACUUGGCUGGCGUUAGAACAGAUGGAGGAAUUCAAGAAACAUAGCAUAAUCUGGGUCUUCAUCCAGAUAAAAAAAAUUGAUUUAGUAUUUUAAAUUGACAUACAUUUUGUUUGUGUUAUUGAUAUAUGGGGGGUUGUUGUUGCAUUGGGCCGGUGCGGUAAGAAUUUUCCCGGUGGAUUUUAGUGCCCCACUC